RNAcentral lists this ribosomal RNA (253 nucleotides) under uncultured bacterium. Its description in RNAcentral is "partial 16S ribosomal RNA". It matches the Rfam family "Bacterial small subunit ribosomal RNA", at positions 524 to 776 of the family's 1533-position model. The record is from RNAcentral.
UACGUAGGGGGCAAGCGUUGUCCGGAAUCAUUGGGCGUAAAGAGCGUGUAGGCGGCCCGGUAAGUCCGCUGUGAAAGUCCAGGGCUCAACCCUGGAAUGCCGGUGGAAACUGUCGGGCUAGAGUCCGGAAGAGGCGAGUGGAAUUCCUGGUGUAGCGGUGAAAUGCGUAGAGAUCCGGAGGAACACCGACGGCGCAGGCAGCGUCCUGGCCGCUUGCUGACACUGAGGCACGAAAGCUGGGGGAGCAAACAGG